GUGGGGAAUAUUGGGCAAUGGGCGAAAGCCUGACCCAGCAACGCCGCGUGAAGGAAGAAGGUUUUCGGAUCGUAAACUUCUAUCCUUGGUGAAGAUAAUGACGGUAGCCAAGAAGGAAGCCCCGGCUAACUACGUGCCAGCAGCCGCGGUAAUACGUAGGGGGCAAGCGUUGUCCGGAAUGAUUGGGCGUAAAUGGCGCGUAGGCGGCCCGGUAAGUCUGAAGUGAAAGUCCUGCUUUUAAGGUGGGAAUUGCUUUGGAUACUGUCGGGCUUGAGUGCAGGAGAGGUAAGCGGAAUUCCCGGUGUAGCGGUGAAAUGCGUAGAGAUCGGGAGGAACACCAGUGGCGAAGGCGGCUUACUGGACUGUAACUGACGCUGAGGCGCGAAAGUGUGGGGAGCAAACAGGAUUAGAAACCCGGGUAGUCC
Molecule: ribosomal RNA, 425 nt
Filed under: uncultured bacterium
Lineage: Bacteria
Description: partial 16S ribosomal RNA
Rfam family: Bacterial small subunit ribosomal RNA
Source: RNAcentral